GAUGAACGCUAGCGGCAGGCCUAAUACAUGCAAGUCGAACGGGAUCAGGGAGCUUGCUCCCUGUGAGAGUGGCGCACGGGUGCGUAACACGUAUGCGAACCUACCUUCAACUGGGGGAUAGCCUUCCGAAAGGAAGAUUAAUACCGCAUAAUAUAAUUGAACGGCAUCGUUUAAUUAUCAAACGUCAGGGUUGAAGAUGGGCAUGCGUCCGAUUAGUUUGUUGGUGAGGUAACGGCUCACCAAGACUACGAUCGGUAGGGGAUCUGAGAGGAUGACCCCCCACACUGGUACUGAGACACGGACCAGACUCCUACGGGAGGCAGCAGUAAGGAAUAUUGGUCAAUGGACGCAAGUCUGAACCAGCCAUGCCGCGUGCAGGAAGACGGUCCUCUGGAUUGUAAACUGCUUUUGUUAGGGAAGAAACCCUCGGAUGCGUUCGAGGCUGACGGUACCUAAAGAAUAAGGAUCGGCUAACUCCGUG
This 481-nucleotide ribosomal RNA is filed under the name uncultured bacterium. RNAcentral's name for it is "bacterial SSU rRNA". It matches the Rfam family "Bacterial small subunit ribosomal RNA", at positions 28 to 507 of the family's 1533-position model. The record is from RNAcentral.